UAAUUUAUCCAUUGAUGGUUACCUACAAAGUAAGAUUUAAUAAAGUAAUCAUAGAGUUUCCCCAAAAACCCUGCGACAGAACUGUACUCAAUUCAACGAUCAGCCCCAAUACUUUUUACACAGACGCCAACAACGGACAAGACUUGAGCCAAUGCAAUCGAUAAUAGCCAGAGUGAAAACAGCAGCCCAAAAAUCUGCCUGUUGUUUUAACGUAGCUCGUCGUGAGCUAAAAUUAACCUUUAAUGCUCUUUUACCUUAAUGUUUUCAGCGUUGGAAAAAAAAAAAAUGGAAUCCUGCAAAUACAAAGCUGAUCAGAGCCAAAUGAAGACAAGAAGCCAACUGAAAAUUGAUAACUGUCGAUAAUUAUAAAUUCCAUCAAACCUUCCUAAACACUAGGAGUCAGUCAUCUACGGAUCCACUGAGCAAGCAAACACAUUAACCAUAGUAGAGAACAACGACCACCUCACUAGAUAAUUACAAGGCCAACUUUUUGGUAGAUACAAAAAUUACACCUAUAGGCCGUAGCAACACAAAAGCAUCUCUCACACAUUCAGAUUUUACUCGAUGAUCAUUCCAUCAUUUACAAUUCAGGCGAAUGACAGUCACCAGACAUGUGGUCGAUGAUGAGUUUCAUAUUCAAUUAUUAGCAUCAGCCAUUGGAAGAUCAUUUUGCACUUGACGAACAAACUGCCCUUUUACUCGAGGGCGCUGCUCUGCUAGUCUUUUCCGGCUUUGGUAUCGAACCUUUUUCUCAUAGCAUCGAUCUUUCCGCUUCAGUCGGAACUUUGUCAGGGCUGCUUCUCUUUGGCUAAAACGAUGAGAAUCCAUCUCUUUGAAUCUGUCAUAAACAAAGAAGCCCCCAUCAUUCACUCUCUCUGGAACCAUAGCCUUCUCAGAUGCCACAACCAAAGUAGCACUUCCCUCAUGUCUACUGCAAAAGCUUCCAUAUGCACUGCUGUUACUGUCAUCUGCAAUGCCAUUACACAUGCUGCUACUAGUACUCUGACUGGCAGCUGGAGAGCCAUGUCUCAGUUCCUCCGCAAGUUCCAUAUUAUUCUGCUGAUGCAAACUUUGGUCCACAGAAUUGGUGGUAGUUUCUUCAGAUUGUCUGUUAUUCUGUUCAGAGUCCUGAAUUUCAGAAUUUGAAUGAAUUGAAGUACUAAAUGGAGAAUGUUCUCGUUGGCUGGCCAGUUUGGGACUCCAAGCUGGGGGUAAACCUGUUUGUCUAUGAUAUACAGGAGGAAUCACAUGGCCAUAUCUGGUACAGAGAUUGUCAAGCCUUACCCCUGGGAUACGAAUCAGCUGUUGAGGGUUUGAAUGUGCUAGUUCAGCCUGCCCAGAAUGACCAACGACCAUAGUAGUCAUGAUUUCUUGACUGCCAUUCAGACUGGCACUAUGUCUUUGAGAAACACUGCUAAUAUUUUGAGAAACAUGAUUGGGUGACAGCUCUAGAGACUUACUAGCAUCUUCCUUGAACUUGGUAAAGUUACUGGUUGAUGUUGGAAAAAGAGGUUGCAAUGUCUUACUAUUAUACCAUGAAAAAGCCGAAGCAUUAGAAUGGUUCAGCAAAUGCUUUUCCUCAACCCCUUGAUUCUUUGAGCUGUUGGGAAAAAAUCUUCUUAGAGAAAGUUCCAGCUGUGAAGUGAACUCAAACUUGUUUGUGCCGCCAAUUUUAGUCGUAUGCCCAUAUAUGCAUUUUGGGCCAUUAUCAAAUGAACCAAUCAAAUCAACAGUUCCACUAGAAGAUUCAACCAGUUCAUUAUUGUGGCCCUGAGAGGCAUUAGCAUUUCCCCUAAUAUUUUCUGGUCUUGGACUUUCAUCUUGGAUCAUUGACUUAGCACAGCAAGGAUGUUCUCCCAGUUUCUGAGCGGGUAGAUUAUAAGCUUCAUUGCAUGAUACACUCAUUAUCCCCAAUUGAGUUGACCAAUCUCCAGUUUUACUCUCAGGGUUAACUGCCCUUUUGUCAAGCACGGCACACUCUUUGUACUUCUCUUUCUCCGUAUUACUCAGAUUUGACUCACUACUAUACUUCAUCUGUGAAAGACCCUGCAUAUUUUGUACGUGAGCACUCUCAGGUUCCAAGUAAGGGGUCGUACAAGAGGUGCAAAAACAUGCAGUCCCUAAGUGAAACUUCAUGAACCCAGCCUAGUCUGGAAAGAAAAUUUCCCUCACAGUUCUUUAAGUGGCUUCACAAAAGUAUGUUGUCAUGGAUCUCAGAUGCAUCUAUAAACUACUGCCUUUUUCAUAUAGAUUGUGUGAUCAAUGAGCCAAAAACAAGAUUGAGAAAAGAAGAUAGCAGAUUGAUUCACAACAGGUUAAGUUUGAGGCAGCCUUUGAAAAAUUGAUAGAUAAACCAACUUCUGGGAAGGAAGGCUUUCUACACAGAGAUUUUCCAUCCAUAAAAGAAUAACUACGAGGUAACUAAUGCUUACUUGGGCAUCGCUCCUUUUCUCGCUGCAUUCCUUUCUUUUAUGUGAGAAAGUUGCACAAUCACUACAGUGAUCACUUGUCGAAUUGUUUUCAAAGGUGGAUUCAACUUUAUGCUGUGCGACAGGUGAAUUAUGAGGAAUAUGUCCAACAGUUAGCUGAUCAAGAAUUUAAGAAAAUACAUAUUCCAUAUUAUUCGUACAACAUGAACUAACAAAUGGACCAAACCCGACAAACGCAAAAAAUAAACUGGAAGGUGAAAAUUACAGUUUGCCUUCUCCAAACAUGCUGCCACAGGUUCCUCAGCUCAUUUUUCCUAACAGGCUUAAUGAGAAAGUCAGCCGCACCUUUUAACAUGCACUUCAAAACCAAGCUAACUGAAUUGUGUGAAGACAUCACUGUGUAGCCGUGAGUAAACAACAAAUGCUAACACAUUCAGUUCCACGCUCAAUAAAGAUAAAAGUAGUAAAGAUGACAAAAAAUUUUGGUUGAAGAUAAACAUACUUAUGACAGGAAUGUUUUUGCAAAUGUCAUGCUCCAUGACCAAAGUAAGCAGUGCAUAUCCUGAUAUUGAUGGCAGCUCUACUUCUGUUAAUAUGAGAUCUAUGUUAUGGGGUCUACCCUUUAAGGCCUCCCAUGCCAUUAAUCCAUCAGGAACAGCUACAACUAUGUAACUGCAUUUCCGAAGAAGCGCAGCGAUAAUCUGGCGCGUAGAAUCAUCGGCCUCAACCAGUAGAACUCUAAGCACCAUUCUUGGAAGAAACUUCUCCCACAGAACCACCUCCGAUGAUUCAUCCUUAUUCUCUGUUUCUUUCUUCUUCUCUGCCUCCUCCUCUGUCCGCAACUGCACUUCCAUCCCUCCUCCGCUGCUCACACCCCCAUUCUCAAACACGCUCAUCCUUAACGAGAUUACAAAAUAUGUAUAUGAGAAGUCCGCUGAAAUUAUAGUGUAAAAUAAAGAGAGAGAAAGCAAAACCGCCUCCAAAUCGAUAUCCAACUUUCUCUGACAACCGCGAAAACCGCUUAAAAUAUCUUUGCCUUCAGAGAGACGACUUUUUU
This 3486-nucleotide unclassified non-coding RNA is filed under the name Hevea brasiliensis (rubber tree). Lineage: Eukaryota; Viridiplantae; Streptophyta; Magnoliopsida; Malpighiales; Euphorbiaceae. The record is from RNAcentral.